This 216-nucleotide ribosomal RNA is filed under the name Glomeromycotina sp. RNAcentral's name for it is "partial small subunit ribosomal RNA". The stretch from base 87 to 216 matches the Rfam family "Eukaryotic small subunit ribosomal RNA", at positions 733 to 864 of the family's 1831-position model. The record is from RNAcentral. Lineage: Eukaryota; Fungi; Glomeromycota.
GGGUCAGUAGGUUGGUCGUGCCACCGGUACGUUCUGGUCUCACUGAUUCCUCCUUCCUGAAGAACCGUAAUGCCAUUAAUUCGGUGUUGCGGGGAAACAGGACUGUUACUUUGAAAAAAUUAGAGUGUUUAAAGCAAGCUAACGCUUGAAUACAUUAGCAUGGAAUAAUGAAAUAGGACGAUCGAUCCUAUUUUGUUGGUUUCUAGGAUUGACGUA